UGAGAAGACCAUCCACCACACAAAGUGCGGUCCAGGCAGUUACGGCACCUACUCAUGGUGAAGAUACCGCACAGAGCUAUUCCCAGCGGCGUCAGAGCCGGCUGUCGCCCAUUCUCCCUUCCCUUUUCUUGGGAGUUGGCUAUGAGCUAUGAACCACCAACAAGCCUUCCCUGCCAACACCAGCUCUUCAGUCAGCAGAGGUCUUCACCUGCUAGUUCCUGUGCACCUCUGCCCAGUGACUAUCACAACACCAGCACAGGGAAGGUGCACUAUUUCGGAAAACUGGGCAGUACUGUGUUUGGUUUCCUAUCCUUGAAAGAUCUGCUUAAAGGAAAGCAGAGACACAACCUUCAAGAGAUACUCAAGAUACCAGCUAAGAAACAAGGUGAGAAUGUGCUGCUUUCUCAGCACAAAAGAGAGACCACUUUGACACCUGACUGGUCCACCUGGCUUUCCAUCGAAAAGUGA
This 468-nucleotide long non-coding RNA is filed under the name Chinchilla lanigera (long-tailed chinchilla). RNAcentral's name for it is "lncRNA (ENSCLAG00000026394.1)". Lineage: Eukaryota; Metazoa; Chordata; Mammalia; Rodentia; Chinchillidae. The record is from RNAcentral.